Molecule: ribosomal RNA, 460 nt
Filed under: uncultured bacterium
Lineage: Bacteria
Description: partial 16S ribosomal RNA
Rfam family: Bacterial small subunit ribosomal RNA
Source: RNAcentral
CCUACGGGUGGCUGCAGUGAGGAAUAUUGGUCAAUGGACGAGAGUCUGAACCAGCCAAGUAGCGUGAAGGAUGACUGCCCUAUGGGUUGUAAACUUCUUUUAUAUGGGAAUAAAAUGUUCCACGCGUGCGCUCUUGUAUGUACCCUAUGAAUAAGCAUCGGCUAACUCCGUGCCAGCAGCCGCGGUAAUACGGAGGAUCCGAGCGUUAUCCGGAUUUAUUGGGUUUAAAGGGAGCGUAGGGGGUCUGUCAAGUCAAGGGUGAAAUCCCCGCGCUCAACGUGGGAACUGCCUUUGAAACUGGCAAACGGGAGGGUGUGAGGGGGUAGUGGAAGUCCGGGUGUAGGAGUGAAAUCCGUAGAUAUCGGGGGGAACAUCAGUGGCGAAGGCGACUAUCUGGGACAUAACUGACGGUGAGGGGCGAAAGCGUGGGUAGCAAACAGGAUUAGAUACCCCAGUAGUC